This 351-nucleotide long non-coding RNA is filed under the name Ananas comosus (pineapple). RNAcentral describes it as "long non-coding RNA (ACOM_LNC004133)". Lineage: Eukaryota; Viridiplantae; Streptophyta; Magnoliopsida; Poales; Bromeliaceae. The record is from RNAcentral.
AAACUGACGAACAAAAAAAAAAAAUCAUAAACAAAAAUAAAAAAACAUACAUAUUUAUGUGAAAAAUUUUUUUAUAGAAAAAAAUUACAGUUGAGAGAGAAAGGAAUUUCACUAUCGAAAAAGAAAAUACAAAGUUCGGAGCGCAACUAUUAUCGAUCGGCAGUCUUUAGGACAACAACGAAAAAAAAACUCUUAACUAGUUUUUGAUCCGAUCCGUACAAAUGGGGGGUUCACAAAUUUAUUUUCAAUUGUCGCACUGCAAAACUGUUGGUGAGUUGAAGUUUCGAACUGAAGCCGAUUAUUAAUUUUGAGUCAUAUCUAACAAUUUGAAAUGGUAAACUUUCAAUUUUU